CCUGGUGGCCAUAGCGAGGGCCAUUACACCCGAUCCCAUCCCGAACUCGGCCGUGAAAUCCCUCUGCGCCCAUGGUACUGCGUCUCAAGACGUGGGAGAGUCGGUCGCCGCCAGGU
This 116-nucleotide ribosomal RNA is filed under the name Rhodospirillum centenum SW. The record is from RNAcentral. Lineage: Bacteria; Pseudomonadati; Pseudomonadota; Alphaproteobacteria; Rhodospirillales; Rhodospirillaceae.